AGCAGCCGCGGUAAUUCCAGCUCCAAUAGCGUAUAUUAAAGUUGUUGCAGUUAAAAAGCUCGUAGUUGAAUUUCGGGGUUAGUAGGCUGGUCGUGCCACUGGUAUGUACUGGUCUUACUGAUUCCUCCUUCCUGAUGAGCCGUAAUGCCAUUAAUUUGGUGUUGCGGGGAAUCUGGACUGUUACUUUAGAAAAAAUUAGAGUGUUUAAAGCAGGCUAACGCUUGAAUACAUUAGCAUGGAAUAAUGGAAUAGGACGUUCGAUCCUAUUUUGUUGGUUUCUAGGAUUGGCGUAAUGAUUAAUAGGGAUAGUUGGGGGCAUUAGUAUUCAAUUGUCAGAGGUGAAAUUCUUGGAUUUAUUGAAGACUAACUACUGCGAAAGCAUUUGCCAAGGAUGUUUUCAUUAAUCAAGAACGAAAGUUAGGGGAUCGAAGACGAUCAGAUACCGUCGUAGUCUUAACCAUAAACUAUGCCGACUAGGGAUCGGAUGAUGUUAAUUUUUAAUGACUCAUUCGG
This 513-nucleotide ribosomal RNA is filed under the name uncultured Glomus. RNAcentral describes it as "SSU rRNA". It matches the Rfam family "Eukaryotic small subunit ribosomal RNA", at positions 569 to 1083 of the family's 1831-position model. The record is from RNAcentral. Lineage: Eukaryota; Fungi; Glomeromycota; Glomeromycetes; Glomerales; Glomeraceae.